UUUAGCAGCAGGUUGCAAGUGAAUAUGGGCUUGAGUUUUGUUCCUAAAUAAAUGAGAAAGAUGCUUCAACAAAGAUUCUUUAUGCUGAAUAAUUAUGAUGCAUGAAGGUGGUAAUCUGCUUUGUUUAAGUGGAUUUUAAAUGCCAGACAAUUCUAGACAGUUUUUUCUUGAUCAAAUAAAAAUUUAAUUAAAACUUAAAAAAA
Cebus imitator (Panamanian white-faced capuchin) is the source of this 203-nucleotide long non-coding RNA. RefSeq lists it as uncharacterized. The transcript has 2 exons. The record is from RefSeq and is a predicted model, not a curated record. Lineage: Eukaryota; Metazoa; Chordata; Mammalia; Primates; Cebidae.